RNAcentral lists this long non-coding RNA (283 nucleotides) under Elaeis guineensis (African oil palm). RNAcentral describes it as "long non-coding RNA (EGUI_LNC066926)". Lineage: Eukaryota; Viridiplantae; Streptophyta; Magnoliopsida; Arecales; Arecaceae. The record is from RNAcentral.
ACGAUGACGGUGGGCAUGACCUUCUUUCUGAGGUCAAGUUCUCCCUCACAGUGACGGCGGGCAUGACCUUCUUUCAGAGGUCAGGUUUCCUCACACAAUGAUGCACACCGGGAAGCACUCAUGGUCGAAGGUGUGCCUAAGCACGGGCUUCGGACGGUCAGGGUGAAAUACGAUCGGAUCUAUCUCUUCUACCCUCGCCUUCUUCGCCGACCCGAAAGUUGCAGCGCCUUUCCGCUCGUGGGCUCUGAGAUUCUGGGCUGACAUCCGAGCCACGUCCACACCC